UUGGACCUUGAAGCAGUUGGGGAGGACUACCACAGCUUUCAAGAGCAUAUAAACGCCAUAAACAAUUAGUUGUGCCGUCGUCAGCCAGAUAUUAGUCAUAUAAUGGACAGGAUGAGGCAAACUGUCUAUAAGAGGGUAGAUCGGACAGAGUGUGAUAUAGGGACAGAGUGUUGUAAUAUGUG
Long non-coding RNA from Alosa sapidissima (American shad), 182 nucleotides. RefSeq lists it as uncharacterized. The record is from RefSeq and is a predicted model, not a curated record. The transcript is spliced from 3 exons. NCBI's taxonomy places the organism in Eukaryota, Metazoa, Chordata, Actinopteri, Clupeiformes, Clupeidae.